This 253-nucleotide ribosomal RNA is filed under the name uncultured bacterium. RNAcentral describes it as "partial 16S ribosomal RNA". It matches the Rfam family "Bacterial small subunit ribosomal RNA", at positions 524 to 776 of the family's 1533-position model. The record is from RNAcentral.
UACGUAGGGGGCAAGCGUUGUCCGGAUUUAUUGGGCGUAAAGCGCGCGUAGGCGGCGCGGUAUGUCGUGCGUGAAAUCUCCCGGCUUAACUGGGAGGGGCCGUGCGAAACUGCCGGGCUUGAGGUCGGAAGGGGAAAGUGGAAUUCCGGGUGUAGUGGUGGAAUGCGUAGAGAUCCGGAGGAACACCAGCGGCGAAGGCGGCAUCCUGGACUGGUCCUGACGCUCAGGAGCGAAAGCGUGGGGAGCGAUCCGG